AUGGCAGCAGAUGGGAGCGGAGCAGCCGCCCAGCUCGCCAGUGGCUGCGGCGUGCCAGGUAGCCGGGGUCCUGCCGGUGCAGGGCCCACGGGCGCCGAGCCCAGCCUGUGCUCGGGAUGGUUCUGCCAGGGGAAAUCCAUCUGCCCAGCUCCGACAGGAUGCUGGAAGGUACCACUGCUUUGCCAAAGCCCUGCUCUAAAAAUGCAGUCGUGCAGAAGUGAUGCUGCCCGUUCUGCUCCUGCACUUAACCCUUCGGGCCCUGCCGGAGCCCAACGUGUCCCGCCAGCCGCAGCGGGGCUGUCUGCACCCAGAAGGGCUCCGGGAUCUGUCCCAGCCGGGGUCACCUCUCCCUGGGGCCUCCCGAUAACCGUGUGGGCCGCCAGGAACCUGGCACCCUGCGCGCUCUCUAGGGUGGCUUUUGGUGGGGAAAGGAGGCUCGGGACGUCAUGUUGGGGUCUGUCCCAUUCUUCUGCCCGAAAGCAGGGGCUGUGGGUGCUCCGGUGGUGGCACCAGGGCUGCUGGGAUUCAGGGGCAUUGAGCCGUGUCCCGCUGUGUCGCUCCUCACCCUGCAGAUGGGUCACGGGGGGCUCACACGGUGCAGGAGCCGAGGAUGCAGCAUCGCAGCCAGAUCUGCAGCCCCGGGAAGGGGUGAGGACACCCUGGGGCUGCUCUCCCCCCCUGGCACCAGGGAGCUGGCAGCUCUCUGGGUGGGGUGAAGCAGCUCGUGUCCCUCCAGAGCCCCGUGCCAUGCCCUGGGCCAUCACGGCACCCCAGCUCUGCCCGCUCCGGGGGUGUUCCCCAGCCCCUCCUGGCUUGGGACGGUGCCCUAAUGCCUGUGAGCUCCUCGUGCAGUGGCCAUGGGGCUUGUUGCUGGCCGUGGGGCUCGUUGCCACGGGGCACGGAGCCCCUGCAGCACCUCCUGGGCUCCCCUGCACCCCUCCGCUGCAGUGCUGGCAUGCCCCAGCCCCAGCCCUGCCUGGGGAGCCGGGCCCUUGGUGCCUCAAGGGGAGCGCUCGUUAA
RNAcentral lists this long non-coding RNA (1020 nucleotides) under Anas zonorhyncha (Eastern spot-billed duck). RNAcentral's name for it is "lncRNA (ENSAZOG00000016872.1)". The record is from RNAcentral. Lineage: Eukaryota; Metazoa; Chordata; Aves; Anseriformes; Anatidae.